AAAAUAGCCCCUGAUAAAGAAUUUUCCAUCUAUAUUUAUCUAUUUUAUUGCAAUUUUAAAUAUUUCUAUUGUUGUAGACGCCGCCACGUUGUGAAGCAAGCAGAUUUAUGACGUUUACAUACAAGCAGGAUUGCAGAGUCGGGAGUCAGAGAUUUUUUGAUGGAGUUGGAGUCAGAUUUUUUAAACUGCCCGGAAUCGGGAAUCGGAGUCGGAUUUAUUUAAAAGGUGGAGUCAGAAUUGAUCAUUCGCUAUCCGACUUUGCAACUCUGCAUUCAAGCCAAAACAAAUAUCUGAUUUUUACUCCAUUCAGCGGUUCGCUAGAAUGACAGUG
This 331-nucleotide long non-coding RNA is filed under the name Androctonus crassicauda. Lineage: Eukaryota; Metazoa; Arthropoda; Arachnida; Scorpiones; Buthidae. The record is from RNAcentral.